This is a long non-coding RNA of Pangasianodon hypophthalmus (striped catfish), 4605 nucleotides long. RefSeq lists it as uncharacterized. The record is from RefSeq and is a predicted model, not a curated record. The transcript has 5 exons. Lineage: Eukaryota; Metazoa; Chordata; Actinopteri; Siluriformes; Pangasiidae.
UCUAUAAGCGAUAUAAUAGAAUGCAUUAUUAAUGUAUUAUUAUUAUUAGUCCCUAUAUCGUUGAAGAAACUGAAUUAUUUCGAUGGUCAUUAGAAACACAAGAGAAUACGCAAUAUUUAACCUCAUUCUGCGAUUGCGCCGCGUGCGCGUGUGAGUGUGUGUGUGUGCGUGUGUGUGUGUGUGCGCGCGCGUGUGUGUGUGAACAUAUUGCUAGACUACAUGCAGUAACUCCAUGCAUGGGUUAUUUAGUACAAUGUGAUGUGCAUUAAUUUUUUGGGCGCCAUUUCAUCCUUAUUAUAAAUCUUUAUGUAAUAGAGAGGUUUUGUUUUAAUAGGGCUAUUCUUUACAUAGUUUAUUCAAGGGGCCACAUAUGAGGUGUUCACAGGCUGGAGGUCAAACACCCAUGAAAACCGCCAAGGUCAAUGAAAGUAAGCAACAAACCGUCAACAUAUUGAUGAUGUCAAAUCGGAGGCAUAUUUUGUAGUUGUGUGUAAAGUGGUGCUGUCACACUGAAACUCCGUAUUUAUUGUGAGUUUUAUGUUGCCUCAGCACAGUAAGAAGUACGGUGAAGAGAGCUUGUGAUGGUCAGCAUGCCUGUUUGAGUUUUAAUACCUCUGUGUGGACGUUGGGAAAAAUGUGGUUUACCAUUUUCAGCAUUUCUUUUUUUUCUUCCCCGCUUUGGAGAGCAACAGAAACUACGACUUGCUGCCCCAGGCCGAAUACGUCGCCGCUCUUUCUAAUUUCUUCUCCUUCUUUUUUUCCUACCCAUGGCAAGGGGGAAAGGUUUUGUGGUUUCCUUGAGAAAUAAAGAACUUCUCAGAGAGGUCGGCAGACGUGACUUUGAACUUGGAUCAGAUCCUGUGUUUCCUGCGGAGAGGGAAGAAAUGGUCUUGGGAAGAAUGGUCUAUAACGUUUAAGCUGCAGGGCUUUGAGCUGAGACGCACACAAUCCCACAAGUUUUACACUGCUUCUGCUCCUUCCGCCCUGGCUCUUACCGUUUCACGCGACAAGGAGACAAGAUAAAGUUUGAACCGUGUUGGAAUGGGACCAUGUGGAACUAGAGCUAAAUGAAAGUGAUCCCUGCAAAUCCUCAAGCCUUCUACAUGUAAAGGGAGAGCUGGAGAUGGAAGAGGCUAUGCCAGUAAGUGUCCUGCAGGAUGUAAGUGUAACAUCUUUAGCGUGUCUAUUGUCAGGAAAGGGCGCAUGCAAAGGAGAAGACAAACCAAAUCCAAAAGGAGGAAGCUGGGAGCUAUCAGACUGGUGCCAGCAGGAUGGAGGACGCCUUGACAGCUCUAAUUACGUAUCACCAUGGUGAUCAUUUUUGGCCUGUCAUGGAGGCUGGACACGACCCACCCUCUCCACAGUUUACUCUGAUUGGACUGUCACUUGCCAGGUGGAUAUUUGACGGGAGAGGCACGAAUGUGUCCAGCCAAUGGAACCUGGCGUCUGCUUGCAUGCCCAUCAACACUGUGGACUCCUACACAUAAACAAAUUUUCAAACAUGUAACAUAGAAAACUAAGCAGUUCUAUUUAUGACAGAUCCAUCUGAUAUGCAGAGACAUGUGGUUGUCGGUUUCCUUCUGACUAAAUCACUCUCCCUAAAGAUUCACACAUUUGUGAGGAACAUGCAUUUCAGAUCUUCCUGUGCAAGUAUUUUUGCUUUAAGCAAUCAUACAUUUACGCAGUUCUUUUUUAUCUUAUCUACCUGUGGUUAAAUCCAAAAAUGUCUUUACUUUUUCCAGCCCAUGUCACUUCAAGCGAACUGUCUAUUAAUAUAAUCAGACUUUUCUUCCCUUAUCAAGCUGUGAUGCAGUGAGCGGACGCUUCACUGACCAUUAACUGACCUCCUGGUGUUUGAAUUUUUAGCUCUUGACUGCUCAGUAAUAUACCACGUAUUUAACCAUGAGCCUAAGCCAGAUCUCCAUGGCUGCAUUUUAAAAGAUAUAUUUUAAGGAUCCUGGGCCAUAUUCAGAGUUGACUUAUGCACAUUGGUAUGCAGACCUCAUGUAACUGCAGACUUACAUGCUAUUCAGACAGCUGUGUGUGAGUUGCUUGUGUGAGGCAAACUUUGCCAAAAACAGGAGUUUGUCACAGUUACGUACGAUUCUGACCUUGAACUUAAGAUGAUUUUUCUUGCGUGAUAUCAGCUUGAGAAAAGAGCAGUAUUAAGUCCAGUGUCACUGUUUGACAAUUUGUUGUAACCACAAUAUGUCAUGCUUAAAUUCAUGUUUUGGGCUAUAUAUUAAAAACUAUGGAAUUCCAUUCAAAGCCAAUAUUAAAUACACAAAUAUGACAUGAUUAAUUAACUAAUUGUAUCAUCCCUUCAAAGUUCACAGUUUUUUACUUUUUCACUGAGUGGAUCGGAGCAGAGAUGAAUGCUUGGUCAGCUUAUCAUUCACACAGUGGGCAUUCUUUAUCAAGCAAAUAGAAUUAACAAAAGGUUGGCAUUAGUUUAUUAAUUUGGAAUUCAACAUAGUGAGUUAUCCUGAAUCCUGAAUAAGAUUAUACUGAAUAUCCUAUAUCAUGCACACAUUACAUGACUUCAAGACUUCAAUUUAAUAUCUUGUGGCUACAUAAAACUGUCAAUGCACAAUUUAAAGAAAUAUAAUAUAUUUUUUUGUGGACCACGUCACUGGUUGCAACCCUCAACAGUAGAAACAACAAUUUUUACCUCUGCCCAAGCUUCAUGCUUUCUGCCACUGCCAAAAAAGAAGUUGUGCUGGGUCAAAUAAUGUAGUUAUUUUGCAGUGGUUAAUGUGAUAAUUACUGUUAUAACUAUUCAUGCAACAAUAUAUUGGUAAUAAACCCAGAUUUUUGUUUUAAUGCUUACCAUUUAUAUAUCAUUGUAUUAGUCUUUCUUUUUUAUUUAUUUUAAAUAAAUUAUUUAUUUAUUUGUUUGUUUGUUUGUUUAUAUUAAUCUUUUGUUUAUGUUACAUCAUAUUUCAUUUGACAGCAAAGGGAAAAAAGUGAUCUGAUUCUUCAGUCUGCAUUAAGUACCCCAUUUCUUUCUGUGCUUAAAGGAAGGUGAUUUUGUUUAAAGCCGGUGGUCUAGACACUAUUGGAAAACCUCAUCUCAGAUGCUUCUGCUUAAGAAAAAUAUGGCAACAUCAGAGGUGUGAACUACAUGCAUUUAAGGUUAAUAAUCUGAAUUGGCCUUCAAGAAAAUUAGCUGAAAAAUUCAGAAUUUAAGGCCUGACUGAGCUUGUAUGAACAUCUAAGCUGAACUGAUUUAGGAAGAGAGAUUAAUUCAUUCAUCUACAAUCACCACUUUAUCCUGGUGAGGAUGGAUUGUGGACCUAUCCUGAGAACACAAUGGAAAUACACUUGAAUGGGACACCAGUCAAUUGCAGGGCAAGUAACAGAGAUCUUUAAUAGUAUUUCUGUUGAGUUAAAUGCCUAUAUUUAAGCAGCCAUCCAAAACCUGUGCGAGAACCCUGGUUACAACGCACUGAAUUAACAGUGACAAGGUCAUUGCUACCCAAUUAUGUGGAACUAAUUUGGGGUAGAAACAUGGUCUGGUAUAUUCUGGAUGAUUUUAUAGCUGUUGAGCAUGGUAACAUAUCUGUUUAAUUUCAUUCAAGCAUAACAUUUCUUCCCUUUUUAAAGUUUUCGAUUAGCUUUUUACAGCUAAUGCAAAUUUAGUGCUGUUAUUUUCUGUAUCACCCUUCAUGGUCAGAAUCGUCACAAACAGAACUUAGCAUAAUAUACUUUUCGAUAAAUAUUCAUGGGUUGACCCACUCCAAAGUUGAAACUCUUUAUUCAUGGGUCAUGAAUACUUAAGCCUUUUUUUCCUUCAGAUUAAUUUCCUCUUCUGUCUGUGCUGAAUGGGACCAUUACAGUUGUGCAGCUUUAAUUAAGCAGUGGCUCUCAAUACAGAAGGCUCUACCAUCUGGUUGUUGUCGUGUACACUGCAAACAUAAGGGCACUGACAAAAAUGAGACGAGCAUUACAACACCAAGCCAAAAAAACUCAAACUUCAAAUUAGAGAUGCCAGCACAAAUGUUCCUCAGAAUGUCAUAUAUUACAACAUGCAAUAGCACAUGCAACUGUCUUUCAUGCAAUAGCACUGCAACUUAUUUGUUGCUAGGUAUAGUGCAAAUACAAUCCAAAAAUGAAAGCAUGCUUUAAUACAUAUGUGUGAUAGUAUAUCGAUUUAUGAUCAUUUUGAAUUUAUCAUUCAGUCCAAUAGAUCAUACGGGACGUUUUUAUUUCUGAGAGUAAAAUCUUGACAUUAUAGUGGCAUGAUCUGGCAUGGCUCUUAUAUGUGUGCUGAACCUUAAGUGAAACCUGGAGCAUAAUCUUGUUCAAGAUCUCCUGACCUACGCUGCAAACUGAAGCACAGCAGCUGUAAGAAAUUUCAGACAGCUUUUUAUUACUGUAUAAACUCCAUUGCCCACAAGUGCCCAGGGAUACAUGUCAGUCACUGUGAAAUAUGACUGUUUAUCUGGCUAAUAACGAUUAGAGGUCAUGGCAGUGCAAAUCGUAUUAUGUCAUGCAGUAUUCAAUCCUGCUAUUUUUCAAUGCUGAUUCCACUUACUCUACACAGAUGUGAAAAUGUUUUAGAUGCAGUGGAUGAAAAUAUGACACCACUUCAGCAAUACCUCA